UACGUAGGGGGCGAGCGUUGUCCGGAUUUAUUGGGCGUAAAGAGCUCGUAGGCGGUUUGGUAAGUCGGGUGUGAAAUCUCCACGCUCAACGUGGAGGGGCCACUCGAUACUGCCAUGACUCGAGUCCGGUAGAGGAGUGUGGAAUUCCCGGUGUAGCGGUGAAAUGCGCAGAUAUCGGGAGGAACACCCGUAGCAGAAGGCGGCACUCGUGGGCCGGAACUGACGCUGAGGAGCGAAAGCGUGGGGAGCGAAACAGG
This 257-nucleotide ribosomal RNA is filed under the name uncultured bacterium. Its description in RNAcentral is "partial 16S ribosomal RNA". It matches the Rfam family "Bacterial small subunit ribosomal RNA", at positions 524 to 776 of the family's 1533-position model. The record is from RNAcentral.